This 211-nucleotide long non-coding RNA is filed under the name Nicotiana benthamiana. RNAcentral's name for it is "long non-coding RNA (NBEN_LNC013204)". Lineage: Eukaryota; Viridiplantae; Streptophyta; Magnoliopsida; Solanales; Solanaceae. The record is from RNAcentral.
AAGAGCAUGUUCGAAGAAUUUAGAUAGGACUUUUGUAAUUCAUAGUUCAUAGCUUAGCCUAGCUUCUUUUUAUUUUGACAUGGUGUAUUAAGGGAGAUCAGCAAGCAGUAGCAGCAGCAACGGUAGUAAAAUCACAUCGCCUGGUAGGCCCAGCUACCAGACAUUCUGGAACUACACUGACCUGAUUCCUUUUUAGCCAAGGAUAUGUAGG